GUUCUUUAAAAAGUGGGAAAACUUUAUACCAACAAAUUAGUUAAACUUACUUAUGGCUUAACUCUUGCCGCUGAGAUCCUUGGAUUAAGAGUAAUUUUUCUAAGCCCUGUGCUUUCCUGUACCAGCUUUCUCUCUUCCCACCAACACACAUAGCUGUUGCUUGGGAGGGUAUGUGAGAAUCCAAAUGUUCCAACUGGGUCCUGGGAUGUGGGCAUACAAAUAUUCUAAUUUCUACCCUAAUGUAUGCAUGCAUAGAUGAUUGUUAGUGUCAAAUCUACUUGUCUUAUAACUCAUGUCCCAAAGUCAAAAUUUCCUGGGAGGCAAAGUCAGUCUUCACCCACAGAGUAAGCCAAACUGCCACUCAUACUUUCUGCAUUUCCAAACAUCUUCUUUUUGACCUUUAAAAUCUGAUUUUCUCCAUCAAUAAAUUGAACUUACUGAACUCUUCUACUGACAGCUCUAUGAUAAUUAUAGACAGAUAUAUACAUGUCUCCAGCCCUCCUUUCUAUAUGAAAGAUCUGGAUUGCUAGUUAUUUAAUCAGUAUUCUUUUCAUUUCUGCCAUGCUUAACCUCACUUUCAUAGACAAGGGGUGAUGGAAAGGAUCAAUCAAAAUUAACUGCCAAACAAACCUGGAUAACCACACUAUGCACAUGCACAUUUUAUAAAGGGGUUCUUAGCAGUUAGACAUAGUGUGGCUGAUGCACUUAGAGUUUUAGCUAGCUUUUUGGUCUUGAUGACCAAAAGACCUGACAAGAACAAUAUUUGAGGAGGAAAAGAUUAUUUGGUGAUCACAAUUUCAAAGGUCUCAGUUCAUAGAUGGCCAACUCCAUUGCUCUUGGCCCUAGGUGAGGCAGAACAUUAUGGUGGAAGGUCAUGGAGGAGAAAAGCAGUCUAGGACAUAGCAAUCAGGAAGCAGAGUUCCACUCACCAGGGACAAAAUAUAUACUUCAAAGGCACACCGCCAGAGGCCUGCCUCCUCUAGCCAUAUCAUAUCUGUCUACAGUUAUCAACUAAUUAAUCCAUGUCAGCGAUUAGUGCACUGAUUAGGAUAAGACUCUCAUAACCCAAUCAUUUCACCUCUAAAUUUUCUUGCAUUGUCUUUUUUUUUAUUAGUUACACAUGGCAGUACAAUGAUCUUGACCUUUCAUACAUUUGAAUCAAAUGGGGUAUAAUUUCUCAUUUUUCUGAUUGUACAGGUUGCAGAAUCACAUUGGUCAUACAGUCACCUAUAUACAUGAGCUUUUUGGGGACACCUCAUAUCUGACCCAUAAGACUUAAGUAUUUGAAUUAUCCACUGAAGAGAACAAAUGUUGAUUUACACUCAGAAUUUCUGUGNGUAGCAGAAUACAACAGUUACUA
This 1360-nucleotide long non-coding RNA is filed under the name Marmota monax (woodchuck). The record is from RNAcentral. Lineage: Eukaryota; Metazoa; Chordata; Mammalia; Rodentia; Sciuridae.